Molecule: ribosomal RNA, 253 nt
Filed under: uncultured bacterium
Lineage: Bacteria
Description: partial 16S ribosomal RNA
Rfam family: Bacterial small subunit ribosomal RNA
Source: RNAcentral
UACGGAGGGUCCAAGCGUUGUCCGGAAUCACUGGGUGUAAAGGGUGCGUAGGCGGGUCCGUAAGUCAGGGGUGAAAUCCCACAGCUCAACUGUGGAACUGCCCUUGAUACUGCGGAUCUCGAGUCCUGGAGAGGCUGCCGGAAUUCGUGGUGUAGCGGUGAAAUGCGUAGAUAUCACGAGGAACACCGGAUGCGUAGGCGGGCAGCUGGACAGGUACUGACGCUGAGGCACGAAAGCGUGGGGAGCGAACAGG